This 73-nucleotide transfer RNA is filed under the name Anaerolineales bacterium. RNAcentral describes it as "tRNA-Arg". It matches the Rfam family "tRNA". Rfam says of the family: Transfer RNA (tRNA) molecules are approximately 80 nucleotides in length. Their secondary structure includes four short double-helical elements and three loops (D, anti-codon, and T loops). Lineage: Bacteria; Bacillati; Chloroflexota; Anaerolineae; Anaerolineales. The record is from RNAcentral.
GCCCCUGUAGCUCAGUUGGAUAGAGCGGCGGCCUCCGGAGCCGUGUGCGCAGGUUCGAGUCCUGUCAGGGGUA